UGGUCAAUAUUCCUGUACCGAUCAAUAGUGCGAUGUGGGGACGGAGAAGGUUAACUCAGCCAACUGUUGGAUAUGUUGGUUCAAGCGUGUAGUCGUGGCUCCUAGGCAAAUCCGGGAGUCUAAGAUGAGGCGUGAUAACGAGUCUGCUUGCAGACGAAGUGAGUGAUACCCUGCUUCCAGGAAAAGCCACUAAGCUUCAGCUAUUGACGACCGUACCGCAAACCGACACUGGUGCGCGAGAUGAGUAUUCUAAGGCGCUUGAGAGAACUCUGGAGAAGGAACUCGGCAAAUUGACACCGUAACUUCGGAAGAAGGUGUGCCUUUAGUAGGUGAUCCAUUUACUUGGUAAGCCCAAUGAGGCCGCAGAGAAUCGGUGGCUGCAACUGCUUAUUAAAAACACAGCACUCUGCAAAGACGAAAGUCGACGUAUAGGGUGUGACUCCUGCCCGGUGCUGGAAGAUUAAAUGAUGGGGUGCAAGCUCUUGACUGAAGUCCCAGUAAACGGCGGCCGUAACUAUAACGGUCCUAAGGUAGCGAAAUUCCUUGUCGGGUAAGUUCCGACCUGCACGAAUGGAGUAAUGAUGGCCACACUGUCUCCUCCAGAGACUCAGCGAAGUUGAAAUGUUUGUGAUGAUGCAAUCUCCCCGCGGAAAGACGGAAAGACCCCAUGAACCUUUACUGUAGCUUUACAUUGGACUUUGAACAGAUCUGUGUAGGAUAGGUGGGAGGCUUUGAAGUAGGGACGCUAGUUUCUAUGGAGCCAACGUUGAAAUACCACCCUGGUGUGUUUGAGGUUCUAACCUUGCUCCCUGAAUCGGGAGUGGGGACAGUGUAUGGUGGGCAGUUUGACUGGGGCGGUCUCCUCCCAAAGUGUAACGGGGGAGUUCGAAGGUACGCUAGUUACGGUCGGAAAUCGUGACGAUAGUGCAUUGGCAUAAGCGUGCUUGACUGCGAGACUGACAAGUCGAGCAGGUACGAAAGUAGGACAAAGUGAUCCGGUGGUUCUGUAUGGAAGGGCCAUCGCUCAACGGAUAAAAGGUACUCUGGGGAUAACAGGCUGAUACCGCCCAAGAGUUCAUAUCGACGGCGGUGUUUGGCACCUCGAUGUCGGCUCAUCUCAUCCUGGGGCUGUAGCCGGUCCCAAGGGUAUGGCUGUUCGUCAUUAGAGAGGUACGUGAGCUGGGUUUAAAACGUCGUGAGACAGUUUGGUCCCUAUCUCCCGUGGGCGCUGCAAGAUUGAGAGAGCCUGCUCCUAGUACGAGAGGACCGGAGUGGACGCACCUCUGGUGUAUCGGUUGUCACGCCAGUGGCAUCGCCGAGUAGCUAAGUGCGGAAGAGAUAACCGCUGAAAGCAUCUAAGCGGGAAACUCGUCUCAAGAUGAGUCUUGCCGGGGCCUAGAGCCCCCUGAAGGGUCGUUCGAGACCAGGACGUUGAUAGGCUGGGUGUGGAAGCGCAGUAAUGCGUUAAGCUAACCAGUACUAAUUGCCCGUGAGGCUUGACCCC
Molecule: ribosomal RNA, 1504 nt
Filed under: metagenome
Description: bacterial LSU rRNA
Rfam family: Bacterial large subunit ribosomal RNA
Source: RNAcentral